ACGCUCAGAGACGCUCUCGGGGCGUCGGCGUCGGUAGCGUCGCACUGUCACUACCAUGUCAACAGCUAAUUGUCAGCAAUUCUUAGCAAUCAGUGAUCGAGUAGUGAUUGUGUGGCGGUUUUUCUGCAUCUAGUUAGUGAUUUGUCAUCAUUUGCUCCUCGUCGGAUCUCUGGGCUGUCAGAGAGCGGUGCCUUGAGUUGGUCAGAUUUCCACCGCAAACAUUGGCCGUCUCAGGAGAGUGCUUGGGUUAGAGGUGUGCACGGUUAGCACUGUUAAUAAUUGAUUCACUUCUUCAACAAAGUUUCACGGCCGCAUCAAGGAAAUAGAACAAGAAAUUUCCAAACGUAAUCAAGCUCCACUAAUGGCUUCUGUACUGGUGCGUGAGUCGAUCUGAUAAGAGUCGGCAUGUCUUUGAAGCACGCCCACCUCGCGCCCUCGCCGUUAUCAACUGUUAUCUCACUUGGAAUAUUUACAUACCUAUGCAUGGAGUGACAAAAAUCGGCCAUUUUAUCAUUAUCUGAUUUACUGUAGACUCGUUAUAAUUCGAAAUUAAAUUUUAUUAAGUAUGUAUUGAGUUAAUAUUUCAAGUUCUGUGAUAACGAUCUGGAGUUUGUCAUGUGCCUACUUGUAAACAGGCGGCUAAAUAAAUAAUUUAUCAUUGGGCUUAUUUUACAAGUCAAAGGAGAAAGCUGCUUAAUAAAUAAUUUUCAGAUUGCAAAACUUGUAGCGGAAUUUUAAAACAACUUAAAUAUUCAUUAAAAAACAAAAAUGACAUCUUACAUUUACGAAAUUUACAAAUUAAUAAAACUCAUUGAAAUGAAUAUUUUUUCCGUAUUUUCGUAGGUGUUAGUUUGUGCUAAGAUUAAAAUGUGUUCUUUCAUGUUUACCAGACAAUACAUCACAACUACAAAAUGUUAUUGUAUUAAUAUAUUAUUUAAAUAAAAAGUAUGUACUCAUGUAGGUAUUAGCACUUUCAAAACUAUAAAGACGACAACGUCGUAUUUUACCAAAUUAUUGUUUUUUAAAUAAGGUUGAUAAAAUUGUAAAGUAAGUGUAUAAAUAAUUUUUAACAACUAAUUUUGAGAAAGAAUGCAAUGUUGGCGCAUUUAUAGUUUUGAAACAGUUAAUACACUGGUUAAUAACACAGAUUUAAAUUUAAUUAAUUUUAUAGGUUUAAUAAAAAUUAAAUAUUUACUUUACCUAACGUAUAUUUAUGCACAUAAAAUGUUAGAAACAUCUCGCCAAAAAAACAGUAUUAAAUUUUAUUUGCGUAAUUUUCUAUACAAGGUGAGCUUGCAAAAGAAAUUUUUAAUGUAUUUCAAAAACUAAUAUAAACACACAAAACUCAACGUUUGCAGUUUAAAUUUUUCUCUGUGCUUGUAAUUUUUUCUGAUUUUUUUUUAGCAUUUUUUAAUAAUAAAAUUAAAUAUCUAAGAACCGGUUUAUAGAAGCGUCAUUAAUUUAAUUCGCAAUUAAAUGCGUGAUUAGCUGAUCACGUGACCAAAAUGAUUCAAUUUGAUUGGUCUAUUCGCGUUGCUAACUUUUACCAAGAAAUUAAAAUUUAAUAAAGCUUCUAUCUAUAAACCGGCCCUAAGUAUAUGAAAAUAUUAAUUAACUAAUAGAAAUUUUAUGACUUCUCAUGACAUUCUACAACAAGCAGUGUUAAAUCAUUCUUUGUGCAAAAAAUAAAUACGUAGAAAAAAUGUCACGUUUUCAUUUAAUUAAUUAAUUUUGAGCUUUUUGUCAAAUUUUCUAAUUUCUCUAAAUCCUCUAAUCAUAAUUUGCUUUAGAAUGACAUAAAAAUUAUAAUUUUUUGUUUAACGGAAUUAAUACAAGUUACUUAAUUAAUUAAUAAUUAAUUUUAACUAAGCAAGCAUACAGAAUUGUUAAAAAAUUCUGAUUUUUUUUGUGCGAUUUUUAGUUUUUGGAACACACACUACUUUUAGCAGGCUAGAAAUAUAAUAAAAAUAUUUUUUGUUAUUUUCUAGUUUCACGUGUAGAUUACCAUAAAAUUUUGUUAGUUUUGCUCUUAAAACCGUUUAAAGUUUUUUUAGGCAAUAAUUAUUUAUUGUUUUCUACAUUAUUUUGAUGUGUGUACAUUUUAGUUCUUUUUUGUUAUGUUUUUUUUUGUUUGAUAAUAAUUAUUAUACUACAAAUAACUUAUCUGCUGUAGAGUGUAGGUAUACUUAUGCGGAGAUUGUAAAAGUCGUACAAAUACAAGUAUAAAAGUAUAUGAGUACAAAUACAACGCACAACAUAUUUUAUUAUUUAUAUUAACUAAAUUAAUAUUAAAAUUUUGAUAACU
This is a long non-coding RNA of Tribolium castaneum (red flour beetle), 2305 nucleotides long. RefSeq lists it as uncharacterized. The record is from RefSeq and is a predicted model, not a curated record. Lineage: Eukaryota; Metazoa; Arthropoda; Insecta; Coleoptera; Tenebrionidae. The transcript has 3 exons.